RNAcentral lists this small nucleolar RNA (107 nucleotides) under Cephalotus follicularis. RNAcentral's name for it is "Plant small nucleolar RNA R71". It matches the Rfam family "Plant small nucleolar RNA R71". From Rfam's summary of the family: R71 is a member of the C/D box family of snoRNAs containing the C (UGAUGA) and D (CUGA) box motifs. Multiple nearly identical copies of this snoRNA have been identified in Arabidopsis, and it is thought to function as a 2'-O-ribose methylation guide for 18S ribosomal RNA. Lineage: Eukaryota; Viridiplantae; Streptophyta; Magnoliopsida; Oxalidales; Cephalotaceae. The record is from Rfam by way of RNAcentral.
AAACCGUGAUGAGGACACUCUAAGAGAAGGUCUUUGAAACGUUCCAUAUAUCAAGAGAAUGAUCUAUUGGGUCUUUGGGGAAACUGGAGAAUCUCGUUCCUAAGUUU